This 245-nucleotide ribosomal RNA is filed under the name uncultured Parachlamydia sp. Its description in RNAcentral is "partial 16S ribosomal RNA". It matches the Rfam family "Bacterial small subunit ribosomal RNA", at positions 524 to 768 of the family's 1533-position model. Lineage: Bacteria; Pseudomonadati; Chlamydiota; Chlamydiia; Parachlamydiales; Parachlamydiaceae. The record is from RNAcentral.
UACGGAGGGUGCAAGCAUUAAUCGGAAUUAUUGGGCGUAAAGGGCGCGUAGGCGGAUAUAUAAGUCAGAUGUGAAAUUCCGAGGCUCAACUUCGGAGCUGCAUUUGAAACUAUAAAUCUCGAGGAUUGGCGGAGAGAACGGAAUUCCACGUGUAGCGGUGAAAUGCGUAGAUAUGUGGAAGAACACCUGUGGCGAAAGCGGUUCUCUAGCUUAUUCCUGACGCUGAGGCGCGAGAGCAAGGGGAG